Ornithorhynchus anatinus (platypus) is the source of this 453-nucleotide long non-coding RNA. RefSeq lists it as uncharacterized. The record is from RefSeq and is a predicted model, not a curated record. Lineage: Eukaryota; Metazoa; Chordata; Mammalia; Monotremata; Ornithorhynchidae. The transcript is spliced from 2 exons.
UUUUUCCUUUAAAGCAAGUGCAUUAUACAUCACUGACUCACCAGGAACAAUAAUACAGACCGGGACAGAAUUCAAUCUUCCUCUGAUCCUACAGACUUCGGAAAUUGGAUGAGACAGGCGUAGGGCAGAGAAAAGUCGCAGAAGAGGGAACAGGCGGAGCUGUUGGAUUUCAGUUGCACUGUAAACCCGAAGAGAGAAGAAUGGAAAAGGAGAAAACCUUGGAUGAAGAAAAAUAACCCUGUCCAGGAAGAAAUCCAAUUAGUGAAUGCUACCCCGUGUUUUUCAAAGUGGAAAUGCUGCACUCAUUAAACCUACCCAUUAGGUAAACAGCACAGAAAAAAAAAAAAGAUCCAGAGGAAAGGGAGUCGAGGGAGGAGAUGAGAAAAGGAAACAAUUAGGAAAAAAAAAAUCUAUACUGCAGAAGAAGAGUCAGGAGCUGAGAAAAGAUAAACA